AUCAGCUCAUGUUGUUAUCACAAGUGUUUUGUGUGCUGACUAAAAGCUGCAGGGGGUUUGUUCCGGUAGAAGAGGUAGACGGCCAGCGGGUGGAAGCGCUGACCGCCGUCCAGAUGGGUGCCUCUGGUCAAAGCUGUUGAUUUAGUCAACCAUGAGUCAACAGUUCCCACAGAGGGGGAUGGCAGGAUGGAGAGCACAGGAAGCGCGAUGGUGAUGAAUGAUUACAUGGAGCUAGAGCUUGUGUCAUGGGGGCCAACAGGAAGCAGAUGCCUGAAUGGUUCAGAGGGACAAAAAUCAUCCAGAAAAGCUUGGCAUGGCAACCUCUGGAAACACGGGAGAGGAAACGCUUCCAUAAAACUGCGACUGGGUGAAAUAACGUGGCCUGUGCUCCCAUUAAACUUGCUGCACUCCCUUCACCUCAGCAGUGAGCUGAGUAGACGAGUGGUGUCUUGUCUCAACACCAUCACAGGGCUUACGCACACCCACACACACUUACACCUUCUUGUUUCAUCCCUUUCCCACCUGCAGGCAGACCCUCCUCAGUGGCAUAUCUCCACCCAACUCUGCAACAAGCUAGCAUGUGUAUUUAAAUCAAACGUACAGCUGGAAAACUUUGGACAUAUCUCCACCCCUCUAGCUCCUCCUCUACCUGCACCCUUCUCUCACUGCAGAUCAUCUGCAAACAUCACAGUCCAUGGAGCCUUCUGUCUGACAUCCUCUGUCAGCCUGUCCACCACCAAAGCCAACUAGAAGGUGCUUAGAGCUGAUCCUUGAUGAACUCCUCCGUCACUCCUGCACCGCACCUCACUGCGGUCUCACAGCUCUCAUGUUCUGCAACACUCUAGCAUUCUGCCACUCCAGACCUUCUCAUGCACCACAGCCUCUCUCUCAGCACUCUGUCGUAUGCUUUCUCUAAAUCUACAGAGGCACAAUGCAGCUCCCCCUGACCUUCUAUGUUCUUCUCUAUCAGCACCCUUAAAGCAAAUUUAGCAUCUGUAGAAUUCUUUCCGGGCAUGACACCAUACUGCUGCUCACAAAUACUUCUGACCCAAGCCUAGCUUCCACCACUCUUUUAAAGAGUGUCAAAAUAAGAUCCAUUAGCUUUAUUCCUCUGUAGCUCCCACAGUUUCAUGCGUCAUCUCUGCUGCCAUGUUGUUAAUCACAUGAAAAUGCCUGAUGGCAUCUCAUAGGGUUCCUGGGGGCACCAGGUUUGUGAGUGAGUUUCACAUGCAGGCUAAAUGUGAAAAUGGUCUUCUACCCUUAUUUCCCGCGUUCUGCUCUACGUCGCAUUGCUAAGUUUGCAUUCAUGUACUCGCACAUCUUGGCUCGUAAACGGGAAGGCUGUUGCUGAUUUAGCGUCCAGAAGACAGAAUAGCUCGUCUCAGCUAGUAGAAGCUAACAAUUAGCAUUAGCAACUCCACAACAGAGCAGAACUCCUCCAGGCGUGUGGUAUUUGUGGAGACAAAACAUCAACGUUGCAAAGCAAAUGGAGGCAGUGGUAGAGUCGCGUUGCUGUUAGCGAAUCAGAAGUGAGAUGUUUCACAUUCAAAACCUACCAUCUUCUGCUCAACUCUCCUCUGGCUCACUUGUACUUCCUGAAACAGGAGCACCAGAGCUUUUUUCCCCCACAGAAAUCCUCUCACAAGGCAUUCAUUUAUACUAGAGACCACUGCACAUGUCUUGAAAAGAACGAGUGAACAUAGUCUUUAAACGACUCAAUGAGGGAGUCAAACAAACUCUUGAAUUCACCACUCGCAGCUUUUCUUCCCUUUUUUCCCAUGAAGAGUUUGAGCCACACUAAUGAAAAAUGUCACUGCGCCCUUCCGAACGCAUGGCUUUAAUAAAAGUUGGUCAGGACGGAACAUGACGACCACUGAGAUUUACAGCUCAGCCUUCUGAGGUGGAGAAGAACUGAGGGAACUUUGGUGAUAAAACCGUUUGAAAAGUGGGUGCUGAGCAUUUAAAUAUGUGGCGUGCACUUUACAGCCAGGGUCGCCUCAGUCGUUUCACCACUUACUGAUGAAAACUUACAGCUGUUUGUAAUCGUGUCAGCUGACAUGUCACCACCAUUACAUGUUUACCGUGUUCUGCUUCCACCGAAACUGUCGUUUUCUCAUUGAGCUGCUUCUCCUCCUUCUGAGCUAAGACUGAAAACAUAAAUUUACCUAAAAACAUUUCUAAUAAUGUCAACACUGUGGCUCUCUAGUAACCCUUGUGCACCAUUUUUCUUACCUAAAAUGUUACAUACAGGAAUGCUGAAACACAAUUAAAUUAGAAGGAAAUUUUUCCUGUUUAACUAAUAUAAUAGAUUUAUGACUAAUAUGUUAGAAAAUCAAAAACCCCAGUGGUGGUUGAGCGAAUCAUGUGCAGAGCAAAAUAUGGUUCUUAAAACAAAAUAUUAUUAUGAUUUCAAUCAAACAAUCAAUCAAUCAAUCAAUCAAUCAAUCAAUCAAUCAAUCAAUCAAUCAAUCAACAAACUUUAUUUAUAUAGAGCUUUUCACACCUGUCAAGGUGUUCCAAAGCCCUGAACACAACAUGAAAUUUAAAUUUACAUUCUAAAACAACAAAAUACAAACAUUAAACCACAGGAUACAGAAACACUCGCACAAAGCACUAUGCUGAAAGACCAACAAGUUCAAUUCAGUUCAAGUUUAUUUAUAUAGCCCCAAAUCACUACAAGAGUCUGUAUUUGAUAUAGCGCCUUCUAGAAUCCUGGUACCCCCCCAAGGCGCUUUACAACACAAUCAGUCAUUCACCCAUUCACACACACAUUCACACACUGGUGGGGAUGAGCUACAAUGUAGCCACAGCUGCCCUGGGGCGCACUGACAGAGGCGAGGCUCCCGAGCACGGGCGCCACCGGUCAGUCCGACCACCACCAGCAGGCAACGUGGGUUAAGUGUCUUGCCCAAGGACACAACGACAGUGACAGACUGAGCGGGGCUUGAACCUGCAACCUUCCGAUUAUAGAGCGAGCACUUAACUCAUGUGCCACCGUCGCCCCGCUAAGUUCAGUUGAAUUCAAUUCAAGUUUAUUUAUAUAGCCCCAAAUCACGAAAAGAGUCGUCUCAAGGCACUUCACACAGUAAACAUUCCAAUACAGGUCAGUUCAUUAAGCCAAUCAGAAAAAAGUUUCCUAUAUAAGGAACCCAGCAAAUUGCAUUGCAUUGCAGAUACAGCAAUCCUCAUACUAAGCAAGUAUUUAGUGACAGUGGAGAGGAAAACUCCCUUCUAACAGGAAGAAACCUCCAGAGGAUCCUGGCUCAGUAUAAGCAGCCAUCCUCCACGACUCACUGGGGAUCGAGAAGACAGAGCAGACACACACACACACACACACACACACACACACACACACACACACACACACACACACACACACACACACACACACACACACACACACACACACACACACACACACACACACACACACACACACACACACACACACACACACACACACACACACACAAACAUCUACUCAACAACAUAUAUGCCAAGUAGUGUUUCUAUGGUUGCACUGUGAUUUCUUAGUAAAUAUUUUAUUUAGUAUGAGUUAAACUGUACUGUAGUUAUUCUAGUGAAUCUAUAAUUAUACGGGUAAACUGGUAGUAGCACAUUCAAUGUCAAAGAGAGUAAAAUGUUAUUAUCAGGAGAGGGAGAUUGUUUAAGUGGUUAGCAGCAGUGUUCAAGCUCCACAGCUCAGCAGAACAUCAUUGUAGCUUCUUCUGGGGAGAAAAAACACUUAGAGAAAAACUAAACAGCUGAAAUAGCAGGAAAUAAUACAGUUAAAGAGCAGAUUGUAAAAGAAAGUAGUCGAAGGGUGGAAAGUGGUCAGUGUAUCCUCCAGUAGUCUAAGCCUAUCAGCAUAACUACAGAGAUAACUCUGGAUAACCUAGUCUUUUAGAUGAAGGCAUGUUGGAGGCAGGGUAAGGGGGAGCCGUCUUUACUGACUGUACACUCCACCUCCCUCAACUCCCCCACUUGUCCAGAUCUGGGCUAACAUCAGAUUUUAACCAUAGGCUCUAUCAAAUAAAAAUGUUUUAAGCCUAGUCAUAAAAGUAGACAAAGUGUCUGCCUCGUGGACUAAAGCUGGGAGCUGGUUCCACAAGAAAGGAGCCUGAUAGCUAAAAGAUCUGCCUCCCAUCCUAUUUUUAGAUGUUCUGGGAACCACCAGUAAACCUGCAGUCUGAGAGCAAAGUGCUCGGUUAGGAACAUAUGGAACAAUCAGGUCACUGAUGUAUGAUGGAGCUUGAUUAUUAAGAGCUUUACGUGUGAGAAGAAGGAUCUUAAAAUCUAUUCUGAAUUUAACAGGCAGCCAAUGUAGGGAAGCUAAGACAGGAGAGAUAUGAUCUCUCUUUUAAGCGCCUCGUGAUUUUUAUCUUGAGAGGCGCUAUAGAAAUGAUAUUUUCUUCUUCUUCUUCUUUUUAAUUCUCAUCAGAACUCUAGCGGCAGCAUUUUGGACAAGCUGAAGACGUUUAACUGCAUUCUGUGGACUUCCUGAUGGUAAUGAAUUACAGUAAUCUAGUCUUGAUGUAAUAAAUGCAUGAACUAGUUUUUCUGCAUCACUCCUGGAAAGGAUGCUUCUAAUAUUAGCAAUAUUCCGAAGGUGGAAAAAGGAAAUCCUACAAACCUGUUUAACGUGGGAUUUGAAUGACAUGUACUGAUCAAAGAUAACACCAAGGUUCCUUACUUUGUUCUCGGAGACUAAUUUUAUGCUGUUCAGGUCAGGUGAUUGACUAAGCAGUUUCCUUUUCUGAAUUUCGGGUCCAAAGAUAAAUUCCUCUCACAAAAACGGAUUUUAACAGAUUUUUUCUUUUCAGUACCUUCCAGAAUGAGCCAUUUCAGGGCUCUGUCACUUAAAGAAAAAUAGCUGCAGCUGGCCACACCCACCAUCCCCUGGUCAAGAUGCUAUUGGCUGAUGAGUGCCGAUAUCCAAGAGGGGCUCAGAGCAGAGCCACUGUUCCUCCAGCAGUGGCUCUCUCUUGCACAUGAGAGACGGUUCUAUGCUAAUUUCCACAUUUGUGACAUCACAACUGGGGACCUUUUUAAACGGCUUGCUUCAGGCACAUAGGUCCGAAAAACCACUGACAGAAAACAGACGUUUUUCAUAUUUUGAGUGUUUUAGAGGCAGCAGAGACCCAUAUGAAUGCACUAAACGAUGAAAAUGGUGCAUUUUAGCACAUCUCCCCUUAAGCUUUUCAUUUUUAAAUGAUUUUUAGAACUUUUAGUAAAAAAAAAAUUAAAAAAAAUUAAAUAAUAGAAUCCAUCCGGCAGCCCUUUGCUCACAAUUCAUUGUUGUUUUUGUUGUUUUCUUUUGCAUGGAAGGACUUGUACAAAUUUUCUUGAGGUUGCAUUCUUGCCUUUUUCCUCAACAACAAAGGGAAAGCCCCCACACACCCACCCACCCACACACACACACACACACACGCACACACGCACACACGCACACACGCACACACACACCCACCCACCCACACACACACACACACACACACACGCACACACGCACACACGCACACACGCACACACACACACACACACACACACACACACACACACACACACACACACACACACACAGCUUUCCUCCCUCCCUUCCUCCUCCACUUUGCCCUUUUUAGGCUGUUCCUCUUUUUUUCCACGUGAACGAGGGGUAGUAUGACAGCUUUUCCUACUUCUGGUGGACUGGAGCCGGGAGAGAGAGCAAACUGUUACUCACUCCGUCUCCAACUUCGAGAGGAAGUUACCACCUCUUCCCUAGUCUCAGUACCCCCACACACACCCUCAAGCAGACACACACACACACACACACACAUGUUUUUCAGGACUUGACCACAGCAGCAACUUUUUUUAUUGUGUUUUGGAGGGAAAGAAGACUAAAGUUGGCAGUUUUCCUGACGCUCUCUGUGUGGACUGAGCAACUAGAGCUAAGUGUUUUCUCUCAUCACUUACCGGGUUGCCAAAUGAACCGUUUAACCCUGAGGACCAAAGAUCACAGGCCUUGAUCCAGCAGUGAAGGCCAAGACACAGAGGAACACGAUCAUUUUGGAUCCGUUCCCGUGACUUCUAGUUGCAAUAUGAGCUGGGAGUGAAGACCUGCUUUGAGGCUUCGUUCUGA
RNA transcript from Nothobranchius furzeri (turquoise killifish), 6121 nucleotides. It is a transcript of the gene named eva-1 homolog Ba (C. elegans), with no coding region annotated. NCBI's taxonomy places the organism in Eukaryota, Metazoa, Chordata, Actinopteri, Cyprinodontiformes, Nothobranchiidae. The record is from RefSeq and is a predicted model, not a curated record.